UCCCUCCCAAUUCCUGUGUAUCUUGCUCACCUCCAAAAUCAAUGGUUAAAUCCAGUUGAUAGUGCUUAAUAUCAGGGUGUGCAAUGGUGCCAUAUCAAGGCCAAGUAGCCGCCUCCUUAGGAAUUUGGCAAUAGGCUCCUUCUUUUCCUUCUCUGCCAUUUUUUCCCCCCACAAAAUAUAAAGAAUGAAACUAUAAAGCUUAUGUUAUGAAGUCUUGUUUAUUAGGAUGAUCAUAAG
RNAcentral lists this long non-coding RNA (237 nucleotides) under Elaeis guineensis (African oil palm). RNAcentral's name for it is "long non-coding RNA (EGUI_LNC017923)". The record is from RNAcentral. Lineage: Eukaryota; Viridiplantae; Streptophyta; Magnoliopsida; Arecales; Arecaceae.